RNAcentral lists this unclassified non-coding RNA (408 nucleotides) under Hevea brasiliensis (rubber tree). Lineage: Eukaryota; Viridiplantae; Streptophyta; Magnoliopsida; Malpighiales; Euphorbiaceae. The record is from RNAcentral.
CACCAACAGUGGUGGUGAUAUUAAUGAUAUUGAUAAUGAUAGUUGUAGUGGUAUGUAACAGCCAUUGUGAAAAUGAUGGUGAUGGUUGAGAAAGAAGUAUCAUUUGUUUAAACAUUAAAUUGAGCUUUUUACUUAGCAUAGUGAUAUUUGAAAUUUAAGUGCUGAAAACAAAAAUAUCAUCCAAUGCAUUGAAAAAAAUUAAGUUCUUAAAAUUAAUUUUGUGAAAAAUUGGUGACAGGUUAAUUUUAAGUGAUUAAUCAAGUUAUGAGACAGUUCCCAAGUCUGUCUUGCUUUUGCUAUCUUCUUGCUUUUGCUAUCUUCUAAGGCAUGAAAAUUGCGUUAAUUAGAUUGUCAAGUACGCAUGCUUUUCCUUAAUGUUCUCCAGGAAUCAUUGGCACGCUCUCAUGG